UACAGUUAUGCUGAUUCCUGCUUCUAACCACAUCCCAGACCUGACUGACAGACUUCAGUUCUCUGGGGGUUCUGCUCUGAUGAUCUGAGGUAAAAUUUGACCAUAGUGAGAUAAGUGGAGAGAAGCAAAUUUUUAAAACAUCAUUUUCAUCUUCAAGAUUAAUCAUGUAAAGAUCUUUUUCAAUAGCUCCUGAGACUUUGCCUUUAGGAAAAAAAAAAUAUAUAAAAAGGCCACUGAACAUCUGGUGGCUUUCUCACCUCAGGGUUUAGAGCAAGUGUUCCCCUCUAAAAGUACAAGUUAAUUAGGAUAAGAUGGCAUUUUUAGGAUUUGGGAAUUCUGUUAAUCAAGUAAAAAUCGAGAUGUUAUUACUCCCUCAUGAAUUUUUCAUCUUUUCAAGAUUAUAGCUAUGCAGCUAGUUUUUCCAACUAUUCAGAACAGUUCUAAUAAAAGGGCUGAGGCUUCCAUUUUCCAAUUCCCUCCCAUAAUAACUGUUAAAUUUUGGGAGAUGAAAGAUAGAGAAUAGUUUUAACGUGCAGAGACAUACACUUUCUUAAAAAUCACCUUAAUUACAAAGACAACCUACCAGCUCAGAGGGAAUACACAAAGGACUGAAUUUCUUAGCAGUGAAAACCUACAAAAAACCCUCAAAACAACUAGAUUGGUAACAGUAAGGCAGACUGUGCUGGUUUUUUCUGGGGUAGAGUAACUUUCUUCACAGUGGCAGUGUGGAGCUGUGUUUUGGAUUUGUGCUGAACACAGGGUUGAUAAUAUAGAGAUGUUUUUGUUCUUGCUGAGCAGAGCUUACACAGAGCAGCCAAGGUCUCCUCUGCUUUUCACCCCUCACUCUGGCUGGGAAGUUGGAGGUGAACGGGAGGCUGGGAGGAGACACAGCCAGGACAGGUGACCCAAACUGACAAAUGGGAUAUUCCAAAUGAUGUGACAUCAUGCUCAGUAUGUAAAGUGGGAGGAAGAAGGUGGAAAGAGGGGAACAUUUGGAAUGGUGGCAUUUGUUGCCAGGUUCUAUUACAUGAGAUGGUCGCUGCUCUUCUGGAGAUGGCUGAACAGUGGUGAAUUAAUGUCUUCUUUUGUUUGGCUUCUCUUCACAGCUUUUGCUUUCCCUAUCAAACUGUCUUUAUCUUAACCCAUGAGUUUUCUAGUUUACUCUUCCAAUUCUUUCCUGAUCCUGCUGGGGAGGGAGGGAGUGGGUGGCUGUGUGGAGCUUGGCUGCCAGAGGGGGUGAAGCCACAGGAGCUCUGUUUGGUACCCAGUGUGGGGCUGAAGGGUUUGGGAUAACAGCAGGUUCAACUGGGAUGUACUAGAUUGAACUUGCAGCUCUUGGUGCUGUUCAGCCAGGGAUCAGCAAGCUCCUGUUCCUGCCAUGGGGCUUGGUUACCUGAUUGUGUAUUAGAAUCUACUGCUCAGUAGUGGCCACUUUGUGCUUUCCCUGCCUGCUGUAAUGCUGUACUGCUUAUCACCUCAGUGAAUGGUGCCUGGGAACGUUCUGAUAGCAGCCAUGGUGCAGGGCCUGGGCUGGCAGGUGGCCAGGGCACUGCUGCUGCCCUGCACAGGGUGGGUACAGCCAGCAGGGCAGACACUGAUGAGUAUAAAGGUGUGCUCAGAGCUGCUCUGGACUUAGUGCUGAAGGCAGAUGAUUGUUUAAACAGCUUGUAUUCCUCUCAUAUGAGUGCAAAUCACAGUGACAGAAUACUUUUGCUGCCAAUUGCGGUAAAAUUUUGUAACUAACUUCUUUGCUGCAGAAAUUAAAGGGUCCAAAUUUAGACAGGUCAAAAUUUGUUUUAAAACACAACUUUGGGCUGGAAUUGUUCAUCAGGUAUCAAAGCUUGUGGUUGUUUGCUCCUAGCUGUUUACUUGCUUUCACCUGGAGGAUUAUCCAGGAGGAAGAAGUGGGUGUAGCUGUCCCCAUGAAUAUCCUCUGAUUGCUCAGGGACAGACCUGGCAGAUAACCAGCAUAGUUCAGCUAUUUAUAUAUCCUGAAAAAUAUGAUGUAAUCAUUUAUUUCCAUUUAAUUAUAGAGAAAGCCUUCAUAUUUAACACAUGAAAAGAAUAAUUUUCUCUUAUUGUACCUAUCUGCAUUUACUGCAUUAUCUUGAUCACAAAGACAACAAUUUACAAAAUACAACCUUAAACAAUACAUGUAAGAUAAAUAAUCAUAGCUGUAACAAAAAAGUAUCUCCUAGAAGUAGCAAGACAUGUUCAUCAGUCAAAGGCUAUAUUUAAUUACUGAGAAGGAAAUUACAUAAAAGUUAGAGAUACCAAUUAAGACCAAGGACUGUUUGAGAUUCAGUAUAAGCCUUUCCAUCUUUACCUACUGUUCCUUUCAUUUGCAAGAAGCUGUGGACUCACUCUCAGAUUUCAACACUUGAUUAGAUGCUUUCAGUAUUUUCUGAUUUGUUUAUGUUUGCAAAAGUGUGACUGACAACAAAUCAUGCAGAACUAUUUCAUUGUUAUCAUGAAACUCUACAUAAUUUUAUGUUUCAGGAUAUAAAUUGAUGAUCAUUAAGUUGAGCUUUUCCUGCUGUGUGGUACAGAGUGGUAACAAUUGUGCUAUAAAAGAUGCAUUCAGUUCUACCCAUGACACAGCUUGCAGGAACCUUGCAAAUCCAGUAUAUUUUCCACAGCACAAAAAAAAAAGUGUGAGGAAGCAACAAAAAUCUACUCUAUUUUGCUCUCAGAACUUUGAUAAGUCUCAGAUGAAAAGAAAGCCACAGGCUGUUCUUCUCUUUGUUUCCUUUUUUAAAAAGAGAGGGAUAGGAAAUAUUGAUAGGCUACCUGAGUCUAGCAGAGAGUUUGUUUUUCCUUUGGAGUCCCUAGCUUGGUCAGAAUGAGGACUAGGGACAAUGCAGAGCAGUGCUCUGCUGGGUUCUAGCAAUUCCUGUGUCCCUGCAGUGUACAGCUGCCCCUCAGUCGCAGGAGUGCACCUUUUUGGGACUGACAGGAUUCACGAGGAUAACCCUGUGUAGUCAAAUCAUGGGGCCAUACAAUGGAGUUACUGUAGGCAAACAAAGAGCCAUAGUCAGGCAAAAACAGCGCAAUGGCAGUGCAACCAUGGAAGAGAGGAGAGUAAACAUAAGGGAUGGACUCAUAAUGGUGUCCACCUUGCCUGCAUUCAAAACAAACAUCACAAAAUAAUGAAUACUUGUUUUCCAUUGGUUUUAUUACAAUAGCAAAUAAAAUCUCAUCACAAAAGUUCUGGAUAAUAAUGGUGCCUUUGCAAAUACUCCCUGCAUGGAGCUUCCCUGAGUUUCAAAAAGGGUUGGAGCAGCCCCCAUUUCAGCAUGGCAGGCACCUGCUUGAUAAAUAAAUCAUUCUUUCACUAGCAGUGAGUUUGCUGCCUCUUCUGAGUAAGGGCUCGCAGGCAGCCAUGGUGCAGCCAGGGCUGAGCAUUCCCUGUGCAGAGCUAUCAGCAGAUGGCUCUGCUGGCCAGGCUAUGCUCAGCAGCAGCUGCAGCUCUGCCAGGAGUGGGCUCAGCUCACAGAUCCACUCCACUGCCAGACAGCCACAGAAAAAAUGAUGCUCAAGAUGCCUUGCUUAUUACUAAAUUGUGAUUUGAACAGACUUUUAAGUUCCAUUAUAAAACUUUUCUUCAUAGUAGUUACACAUGCAGCACAUAUACAAAGGCAGGAGGCACAGAUGGAACGGCCUAAAAAUGUAACAAUUAGGUAAGGGAGAGCACAUCCAGAAGGGUCAGGCAGCUAAAGUACACAUUUCCUUUGGAAGUCUGCAAUGCCAAGACAGGCAAAGACUGCCCCUAAUGUAGGCACUACAUAUGACAUUGUUACUAACAGAGUCACAAAAGGGACCUUUACCAUCAGUCAACCACAGUUAUAUAAAUUACAUGUUCACUGACUGUAGGCCUCUCCAGUUUAAUUCCCAGAGAGAGCCUAAACACAAAGGCCUGUCCAACUGCCCCAAGAGCAAGAAAUUUGGCUUUUUUUUUUUCAGCAGAAGAUUCCUAAUCUGUAAAAGAUUCCUCAUAAAUGCUCAUAACUCUCCAUUUCCUUUCACCUCAUGAUGGAAAUUUCAUUCUUCUGGGAAACAGGAUCCACUUCUUGAAGUCCAGUGACUCACUUGGUAAACUUGGAUGACAAGUGCCUUCCAGUACUGUCAGGGAAAUUAAGAUCUCAAGUAGCAGAGGACUGAGCCACCAAGAUGGGACCUCCCAGCAGGUCUGACCUUCCUACAGAGUGGGAGCAUCUAAGUUUGGUAGAAGCAUUGCUUUAUAGGCAGUAUGGUACCAGAGCUGGCCUUGGUGGGACCAAUUCAGGUAUCCCUGCACCUACAGCUCAGUCCUUCUGAUAGCUGGAAAAUUUCCAGCACCUUUAUUGCACCCUUUUACAAGGGAGUAAUGACAAUAAUCAAUCUGCAUCCAAACUCAGCAGGAGGCCAGACAACCCCGGAUGCAGAUUGAUUAUUGUCAUUACUCCCUGGUACAAGGAUGCAACAAAAAGGAUAAAACAGUAUUUAAAACUGAAUUGAAGACAAAGAGUGCAAUGAAAUCAUAUUAGUACACUUCCAGUAAAGAACCAGUCAGGUACUGAUUUCAAAAGGCAAAUUUCUGUUAUUUGUACCAUGCUCUGGUUCCUGCAGCUAUACUGCAACCUGAAGGUUGCAAGCCACAUCUCUGGGAUGUCUGAGGAAUCAAAGUUUAGGCAAAAUGCAAGCAGCAUGAUGGUGGAUGUGUGCCUGGAAAUAUUAGUCUACUUUCACUGAUAGAGACAUUUCAGUAACACAGGCGUAGAAGGCUCAGCUUGUGGUUUAGCCAAAAUGACAAUAUUGCUCCAUUUAAAAAGAAGGUUAAUGGCAUUCCCACACAGAACACAUGAAGUAUGAGUGCCCAGCAUGUGUUUUAAUAGCAAUCCAUCUACAUUAAGUACCAUUCCCAUUAAUACUGCUCCCCUUGUAAAGGAGUGCUGAAAUAAAUGAAAAUCCUUAGUCUGAGUUCAGUGAGCCCUAGACUGCAGUCUCAGAGCUAUCAUUCGUAUGGAGGCAACAUUUCAGCCCAGUAAUGAUUCCUCAUAAAUUUAGAUAUGGGAGGAACCUCAGCAAUACAAAGAAAGAAAAUUGAUCUGAGAUGUACAGAAGUGCCCCCCUGCACUUAAAUGCCAGGUCCAGAUUCCCUCCCCUAAGCAGCCAAAAUGUAUGCACUUCCUCAUUUGAUUAAAAUUGUCUUUCAAGCCUCCACAAGUUCUGAUGAGAAAUGGACUGUGUCACUCUACAAUUACAUGGUCCCUUCCACCCCUUCCAUAGAUUCCUUUUUUUUUUCUUUUCUGCAUUUUCUCUCUAUUGGGCAGUGAUGUAGGCUACAUGAAGUGGACUUCUUCAUCCAAGCCUUCUGUCCUCUCCAAUUUACCACAGGGUUAGUCAGACAUUCACAGUCCUGAACCAACACCUUGGAUGGCUUCAAAUCCUCAAGAAGUUUUGUGAAAUGGGGAAAAAUCUAGCAGCAAAAGAACUUUUGUGACAAAUUUUGUCUUUCAGACAAUGAUCACCACAUCAUCAUUCAUUUAGGUGUCAAAAUGUAGAACUGAUGUUCUUGUUCCCUAAAUAAGUAAGUAAAGAGCCCACCCAUAUGAAUGUACUGUUUGUACAGACAGCAACACCAAGAAGAUCAAUUAAUCUAGCUGCAAAAUAUGCUCCUUGCCAUGCUACUGCACUUGUGAAAAUACAGGAGUGUACUAAUCAGGGGGGUUAGAAAUCACCUUAACAGUUCCUGUGACACACUCUUAUUGGAUUUACAUUCACCAGCAAAUCCAAGAAAACAAUUUGAUAAUUUUAGCACAAAGCAGACAAAGAAGGAUUUGCUAAGCUGCUUAGAGCCUGGCCCUGAAAUGUUGGAAAGGUUCAGGUUAAUGUCCUUUCACAGGACAGGCACCAUGGGCAGGCUACAUCUGACAUGAACCAUGUUUUGAAUCUCUGAAGCCAUCUUAUGAUCAAGAAGGUAUCUCAUUCUACAGCAAAAUUUAGCAUGGGAAAUGUUUUAUCAAUCUGACAGAGGGAAGAAUCAAUAUUGUUUCAUUACAUGAUUAUUUUAAGAAGAUUCUCCUCACUGUUAAGACGCAGGAUGAAAAAUAACAUCAGUGCUUCUGACUUUUCCUUGGUGUCCAUGAGAAGCAGUGCCUGAGGCAUCACCAGCAGUGAAUCCUUCUCUAUGGAAUGGCACUUGGAGGCCUUAAACUUGCAACAAGCUCCCAGUGGAGUCCUGUGGAAGACUGUGCGGUCGCUCACACAUGAAAGGUUGUGCAACAGCACCUUGUGGUGAGACAGUGACUUGUUCUGUGUGUGCACCAUGCCCAGCACAACCA
Motacilla alba alba is the source of this 6323-nucleotide long non-coding RNA. RefSeq lists it as uncharacterized. The record is from RefSeq and is a predicted model, not a curated record. NCBI's taxonomy places the organism in Eukaryota, Metazoa, Chordata, Aves, Passeriformes, Motacillidae. The transcript is spliced from 3 exons.